CUAAGGGGGUUGAUGAAAUGAAAUAAAAUUUCAUCAGGUGAGAAAUAGUAUUGUGUAGGGUAAUGGGACUGAAGGAUGAUAUAUCCCCUGGGCCCGAUGGACUGCAUCACAGGGAAGUGGCUCUAGAAAUAGUGGA
This is a long non-coding RNA of Amblyraja radiata (thorny skate), 136 nucleotides long. RefSeq lists it as uncharacterized. The record is from RefSeq and is a predicted model, not a curated record. NCBI's taxonomy places the organism in Eukaryota, Metazoa, Chordata, Chondrichthyes, Rajiformes, Rajidae. The transcript is spliced from 3 exons.